CUCGGCGGGCUCCAGCCUCAGCUCCCACUGGAGGGCUCAAGGGCCCGGGUAACCGGAGCCGCAGGGAGAGCUGGGAGCCCGCGGCAGAGUCCAGAAGGGGUAGGGAUGGGGUUCUCUUUUCUGCGGUCCUCCCUGUGCCCCCUCCAGGGGCGCCCACCGCAUCUUCACCCCGGAGUCUGCGCCGCGACACUUACCGUGGGCGAGCAGCGCCGAGAGGCAGAGCAGAGCGGCGCCACCGCGGCCCGACAUCUCUGGGGCCAUGACAGAGAAAUUCCAGGCAACUUUAAUCCAUCCGGAGAAGGAAAAGUUUCCGUGCAGUGCUGAGAAGGGAGAGGCGGGUCGCCACCACCUUAGGCGACGCCCGGUUGGAAAGCUCGAGGUGGGCGUCCAGAUGUCUGUCCCCUCGAAGAGCUCGCUCUUGGACUCCAGCGCGCUCCCUCGUCUCUAUCAGGGCCCGCGCUCAGCACAGGCCGGCUCCGCGCAGCCUGGCCCGGCAGCAGCUCCGCGGCUGGCGCGAGGGUGGCGAGGCGGGAACCGGUUGCCCCAUGGAGACAGGGGUUGGAGAAAUGAGGGAGCGGGAAAUCCAGCUACUACGCCCCGACCCGGGCCCGUCCUGCUCGAAGCGUGGACUCCAGCCUCCAACCCAUCAACGCUGCAGGACGGCGAGGGGCUCGGCCAGCGACAGCUCCGGAGCCCCCCUCUCUUCUCUCAGGUCUCGCCUUCUCAGCAGGGGGGCACGCUGCCCAGCCUCACUCCUCGCCUUCCCUGGGGGGACCUGCACAAACCUUGAACUUUUCCGGGGUUCAGCGUCUCCGACGCCUCCUCCUCCCUGCGCCCCCGCCCUGCCCCUGGACGCCGGCUCCUCCACCGGCUCGCGCUGGGAUCCAGUGGGGCUUGUGGCCGCUGCGUUUCUCCCGGGUAGAUGCCACUGCAGUCUCCGAUGUUCCCUUUCAAAGGAUGCAAGCUCCCCGCCGGCGCCGGAGGUGUUCUGCAGCCGUUCUGCCAGAGGCUCGGGUAGGGGCACCCCACCCCCACCCCCAGAGUCUGCUUGGGGCUUUCCAGGGACCCAGAGUGGGAAUCAGCCUAGCUGGUGCGCCUAGCUCCUCUCAGGUCCCGCCGUGUGGGAGCUCUCUGGUUCUGCGUCUUCCUGCGGUGCACGGAGGAGCGGAGGAGAGGAAGGCACAGCCUGGGGCAGACCCAGCCGGCCAGCCGUAGAGGGGUCGGAGAGGACGGGAUGCCUGCCUACAGAUCAGACCGGACAAGUCAACUGUCUAUCAGUCUUUGGAUCCAUGGCGGUGAUUUUACAGCAUCAGAGAAAUGGCAUCUUGUUUAUGGAAAACGGACUUGGAUCGCUCUUAAGAUCCCCCCUCCACCCUGGCUGCUGGCUGUGUCCCUGCUUCAGCUUGGCACUGGGACCCAGGAGACUGCUCUCGCCCCUCCCCAACCCCACAUCUGCCUGGAACCGGAGUACUUCAAAGCUGCCCAGGAGCCUGAAGGUCCUCGGCUUCAGCCCGUUCCCCUGGCCAUCUCUGAAAACUGGCAGGGUCUUCUCUGGUUAGGGUCGUCCAGUGACUCAGACACGGGCUUCUCUCUGCCCUGACUUCAUUUCUCUUCCUUCCUCCCUUCCUUUUAUACCAGCACUGAGUAUCUCCAGCAUCACAGGCAUUAUUGGCCCAACAGUGAGCAAGAGAGAAGUACCCCUUGCCUCAUGAAUUCCCACUCUAGAGGAGAAGGCAGAACACAGAGCUUCUACCCAGAGAUGGCUAUGACUCCUGGUGUUGCAUGCUUUUGCUCAUCUUAAGAAGACCUGUGUCAGGAAGGGCAAGGGAACCGUGAUUUCUGCCCUGCUCUUCCUGUACCUGCCGUGUGGACCUGCCCUUCAUGGACUGGGGCCCCCUGCUGGGUUAAACUCCCAGCUCAGAUUCCAGGACCCUACUUUAUCCACAAGUAAGGAGAAUGUCAGUGGAAGGCCAGCUUGUGGAUUUCCCAGAAUCUCCGCCUUUGGUUCCCCUUCAGACAGCACACUCCUGGUCCUUCCGGCCUUGUGCCCAUGUCCUCUGACUCUAGCUCUCUCCUCUUCCCUCCUCCUUCUGGCACACAUGGACAGGCUUAACACACCCCGUUCCAGCCCACCCGUCCUUUGUCCUUUGAGCCACUCUCCUUCUGUGAGCUGCGACUUUCUCUGCCGAGGGGGUGCCCUUUUGCUAUGCAGGAAGACCUGUUCCUCCCUCUCCAACUCUUCGUGGAGGUUUUUCUGCGAAGCCUGGUUCACUACCUCAGAUGGUAUUCAUCACUGUCCGCCUCAUGGUUAGAAUUCACCCCAGCGCUGUCUUUGUUUCCUCUACUCACUUAUAAAAUCCUUC
RNAcentral lists this long non-coding RNA (2363 nucleotides) under Heterocephalus glaber (naked mole-rat). RNAcentral's name for it is "lncRNA (ENSHGLG00000048729.1)". The record is from RNAcentral. Lineage: Eukaryota; Metazoa; Chordata; Mammalia; Rodentia; Bathyergidae.